RNAcentral lists this ribosomal RNA (279 nucleotides) under uncultured bacterium. Its description in RNAcentral is "partial 16S ribosomal RNA". It matches the Rfam family "Bacterial small subunit ribosomal RNA", at positions 506 to 784 of the family's 1533-position model. The record is from RNAcentral.
UGCCAGCCGCCGCGGUAACACGGGGGGCGCAAGCGUUAUUCGGAAUUAUUGGGCGUAAAGGGCGCGCAGGCGGUCUUGUCCGUCAGGUGUGAAAGCUCGGGGCUCAACCCCGGAAGUGCACUUGAAACAGCAAGACUUGAAUACGGUAGAGGAGAGAGGAAUUCCUAGUGUAGAGGUGAAAUUCGUAGAUAUUAGGAGGAAUACCAGAGGCGUAGGCGCCUGACUGGACGAUUAUUGACGCUGAGGUACGAAAGCGUGGGGAGCGAACAGGAUUAGAUA